UUAGUGGCGGACGGGUGAGUAACGCGUGGAUAACCUGCCGUAUACUGGGGGAUAACACUUAGAAAUAGGUGCUAAUACCGCAUAAGCGCACAGUCUCGCAUGAGACGGUGUGAAAAACUCCGGUGGUAUACGAUGGAUCCGCGUCUGAUUAGCUUGUUGGCGGGGUAACAGCCCACCAAGGCGACGAUGCGUAGGGGUUCUGAGAGGAAGGUCCCCCACAUUGGAACUGAGACACGGUCCAAACUCCUACGGGAGGCAGCAG
Molecule: ribosomal RNA, 262 nt
Filed under: uncultured bacterium
Lineage: Bacteria
Description: partial 16S ribosomal RNA
Rfam family: Bacterial small subunit ribosomal RNA
Source: RNAcentral